Molecule: ribosomal RNA, 253 nt
Filed under: uncultured bacterium
Lineage: Bacteria
Description: partial 16S ribosomal RNA
Rfam family: Bacterial small subunit ribosomal RNA
Source: RNAcentral
UACGUAGGGUGCGAGCGUUAAUCGGAAUUACUGGGCGUAAAGCGUGCGUAGGCGGUCCGCUAAGUCUGAUGUGAAAGCCCCGGGCUCAACCUGGGAACUGCAUUGGAAACUAACGGGCUCGAGUGUGGCAGAGGGGGGUGGAAUUCCACGUGUAGCAGUGAAAUGCGUAGAGAUGUGGAGGAACACCGAUGGCGAAGGCAGCCCCCUGGGCUAACACUGACGCUCAGGCACGAAAGCGUGGGGAGCAAACAGG